Molecule: ribosomal RNA, 497 nt
Filed under: uncultured bacterium
Lineage: Bacteria
Description: partial 16S ribosomal RNA
Rfam family: Bacterial small subunit ribosomal RNA
Source: RNAcentral
GAUGAACGCUGGCGGCGUGCCUAAUACAUGCAAGUCGAGCGAACAGAUGAGGAGCUUGCUCCUCUGACGUUAGCGGCGGACGGGUGAGUAACACGUGGAUAACCUACCUAUAAGACUGGGAUAACUUCGGGAAACCGGAGCUAAUACCGGAUAAUAUAUUGAACCGCAUGGUUCAAUAGUGAAAGACGGUUUUGCUGUCACUUAUAGAUGGAUCCGCGCCGCAUUAGCUAGUUGGUAAGGUAACGGCUUACCAAGGCAACGAUGCGUAGCCGACCUGAGAGUGUGAUCGGCCACCCUAGAACUGAGACACGGUCCUGACUCCUGCGGGAGGCAGCAGUAGGGAAUCUUCCGCAAUGGGCGAAAGCCUGACGGAGCAACGCCGCGUGAGUGAUGAAGGUCUUCGGAUCGUAAAACUCUGUUAUUAGGGAAGAACAAAUGUGUAAGUAACUAUGCACGUCUUGACGGUACCUAAUCAGAAAGCCACGGCUAACUACGUG